This 866-nucleotide ribosomal RNA is filed under the name uncultured Fusobacterium sp. Its description in RNAcentral is "bacterial SSU rRNA". It matches the Rfam family "Bacterial small subunit ribosomal RNA", at positions 28 to 836 of the family's 1533-position model. Lineage: Bacteria; Fusobacteriati; Fusobacteriota; Fusobacteriia; Fusobacteriales; Fusobacteriaceae. The record is from RNAcentral.
GACGAACGCUGGCGGCGUGCUUAACACAUGCAAGUCGAACGCUGAAGCUCAGCUUUUGUUGGGUUGGAUGAGUGGCGAACGGGUGAGUAACACGUGAGUAACCUGCCCUCUUCUUUGGGAUAACGCCCGGAAACGGGUGCUAAUACUGGAUAUUCACUGAUCUUCGCAUGGGGGUUGGUGGAAAGGUUUGUUCUGGUGGGGGAUGGGCUCGCGGCCUAUCAGCUUGUUGGUGGGGUGAUGGCCUACCAAGGCUUUGACGGGUAGCCGGCCUGAGAGGGUGACCGGUCACAUUGGGACUGAGAUACGGCCCAGACUCCUACGGGAGGCAGCAGUGGGGAAUAUUGCACAAUGGGCGCAGGCCUGAUGCAGCGACGCCGCGUGAGGGAUGGAGGCCUUCGGGUUGUAAACCUCUUUCGCUCAUGGUCAAGCCGCAACUGUGGGUUGUGGUGAGGGUAGUGGGUAAAGAAGCGUCGGCUAACUACGUGCCAGCACCCGCGGUAAUACGUAGGGCGCGAGCGUUGUCCGGAGUUAUUGUGCGUAAAGGGCUGGUACCCCUGGGUACGUCUGCAGUGAAUUCUUUGGCUUAACUCGGAGGUGCGCUGGGUCGGGUUGAAUUUAUUGCUCGAACGAGAGAAUGGAAUUCAUGCUUUACCAGUGCUAAUCGCAGAAUAAAGAGGAAAAACGGGGCCGGGGGCCUUUCCGCCCGUUCCACUGCUCCGACUCAACCAGGCGGCCAACCAAACAUGAUCGCCUAAACCUUCUGAGGCAUCCAGUUCAAUCUUUUGCGCAUUGGCGAAGCUGAAUGGGGAAAUUUAAUCUUUCUGAUUUAGCGUAAUUAUACCCUUCUUUCGGUAGAAGGCUGCUUA